Molecule: ribosomal RNA, 434 nt
Filed under: uncultured bacterium
Lineage: Bacteria
Description: partial 16S ribosomal RNA
Rfam family: Bacterial small subunit ribosomal RNA
Source: RNAcentral
AGCGAACGCUGGCGGCAGGCCUAACACAUGCAAGUCGAACGAACCUUUCGGGGUUAGUGGCGGACGGGUGAGUAACACGUGGGAACGUGCCUUUAGGUUCGGAAUAACUCAGGGAAACUUGUGCUAAUACCGAAUGUGCCCUUCGGGGGAAAGAUUAAUCGCCUUUAGAGGGGCCCGCGUCGGAUUAGCUAGUUGGUUGAGGUAAUGGCUCACCCAGGCGACGUUCAGUAGCUGGUCAGGGAGGAGGGUCAGAGACAUUGGGACUGAGACACGGCCCAAACUCCUACGGGAGGGAGGAGAGGGGAAUCGUGCGAAAUGGGGGAAGGCCUGACGCAGCCAGGCCGGGUAAAUGAUGAAGGUCUUAGAAUAGUAAAAUUCUUUUACCGGGGAAGAUAUUGACGGUACCCGGAGAAAAAGCCCCGGCUAACUUCGUG